This 224-nucleotide ribosomal RNA is filed under the name Glomeraceae sp. Its description in RNAcentral is "partial small subunit ribosomal RNA". It matches the Rfam family "Eukaryotic small subunit ribosomal RNA", at positions 547 to 773 of the family's 1831-position model. The record is from RNAcentral. Lineage: Eukaryota; Fungi; Glomeromycota; Glomeromycetes; Glomerales; Glomeraceae.
UUUGGAGGGCAAGUCUGGUGCCAGCAGCCGCGGUAAUUCCAGCUCCAAUAGCGUAUAUUAAAGUUGUUGCAGUUAAAAAGCUCGUAGUUGAAUUUCGGGAUCAGUAGGUUGGUCGUGCCACUGGUAUGUACUGGCCUUACUGAUUCCUCCUUCUUGAGGAACUGUAAUGUCAUUAAUUUGGUGUUGCGGGAAAACAGGACUGUUACUUUGAAAAAAUUAGAGUG